CAGUAGCCGCGGUAAUACGAAGGUCCCAAGCGUUGUUCGGAAUCACUGGGCGUAAAGGGAGCGUAGGCGGCGUGGUAAGUCAGAUGUGAAAUCCCGGGGCUCAACCCCGGAACUGCAUCCGAUACUGCCAUGCUUGAGGGUUGGAGAGGUGACUGGAAUUCUCGGUGUAGCAGUGAAAUGCGUGGAUAUCGAGAGGAACACUCGUGGCGAAGGCGAGUCACUGGACAACAUCUGACGCUGAGGCUCGAAGGCUAGGGUAGCGAAAGGGAUUAGAUACCCCCGUAGUCCCUGUCUCUUAUAC
RNAcentral lists this ribosomal RNA (301 nucleotides) under uncultured bacterium. Its description in RNAcentral is "partial 16S ribosomal RNA". It matches the Rfam family "Bacterial small subunit ribosomal RNA", at positions 509 to 807 of the family's 1533-position model. The record is from RNAcentral.